This 253-nucleotide ribosomal RNA is filed under the name uncultured bacterium. RNAcentral's name for it is "partial 16S ribosomal RNA". It matches the Rfam family "Bacterial small subunit ribosomal RNA", at positions 524 to 776 of the family's 1533-position model. The record is from RNAcentral.
UACGGAGGGAGCAAGCGUUACUCGGAAUUAUUGGGCGUAAAGAGCUCGUAGGCGGUCUGUCGCGUCGGCUGUGAAAACCCGGAGCUCAACUCCGGGCCUGCAGUCGAUACGGGCAAACUGGAGUGUUGCAGGGGAGACUGGAAUUCCUGGUGUAGCGGUGAAAUGCGCAGAUAUCAGGAGGAACACCGGUGGCGAAGGCGGGUCUCUGGGCAACAACUGACGCUGAGGAGCGAAAGCGUGGGGAGCGAACAGG